RNAcentral lists this ribosomal RNA (617 nucleotides) under Ramaria acrisiccescens. RNAcentral describes it as "eukaryotic LSU rRNA". It matches the Rfam family "Eukaryotic large subunit ribosomal RNA", at positions 65 to 656 of the family's 3401-position model. The record is from RNAcentral. Lineage: Eukaryota; Fungi; Basidiomycota; Agaricomycetes; Gomphales; Gomphaceae.
CUAACGAGGAUUCCCCUAGUAACGGCGAGUGAAGCGGGAAGAGCUCAAAUUUGUAAUCUGGUGGCCUUUGGUCGCCCGAGUUGUAGUCUGGAGAAGCGUUUUCUGUGCCGGACCGUGUACAAGUCCCUUGGAACAGGGCGUCGUAGAGGGUGAGAAUCCCGUCUUUGACACGGACUGCCGGUGCUUUGUGAUGCGCUCUCAAAGAGUCGAGUUGUUUGGGAAUGCAGCUCAAAAUGGGUGGUAAAUUCCAUCUAAAGCUAAAUAUUGGCGAAAGACCGAUAGCGAACAAGUACCGUGAGGGAAAGAUGAAAAGCACUUUGGAAAGAGAGUUAAACAGUACGUGAAAUUGUUGAAAGGGAAACGCUUGAAGUCAGUCGCGUCUUCCGGGAUUCAGCUGUGUGAAAAAAAAAGCACAGUGUACUUCCCGGAGCGACGGGCCAGCAUCGAUUUUGACCGUYGGAGAAAGGCCUCGGGAACGUGGCACCCUUUGGGUGUGUUAUAGCCCUGGGUCGUAUGCGACGGUUGGGAUCGAGGACCGCAGCACGCCUCUUUGGCCGGGGUUCGCCCACGUAACGUGCUUAGGAUGCUGGCGUAAUGGCUUUAAGCGACCCGUCUUG